Long non-coding RNA from Pseudopipra pipra, 5197 nucleotides. RefSeq lists it as uncharacterized. The transcript is spliced from 2 exons. The record is from RefSeq and is a predicted model, not a curated record. NCBI's taxonomy places the organism in Eukaryota, Metazoa, Chordata, Aves, Passeriformes, Pipridae.
UAAGGCGGCGAGGGGGGUGUGGACGGACGGACUGAUGGAUGGUUGGUGGCGUGUCCUCGCAUUAGCUUAAAUUGUACGCGAACAGAAAAAGCAGAAGCCGCUGCAUCUCCUGAAUGGCAGAAGACGUCUCCUCCUGUCUUAGGAGUGGCUGAUGAGCCUUGAAGCACAGAACUUUUCCGUUUCUCCGAAGUGGAAGAUGCCUGACACCGUGAAGUGCUACUCCAUUUCCUUGUGGAAGCUGGUGCUUUACUGAGGCGCCCAGGACGAACAAAGACACCGUGUCGUGGUUUGCAGUGGAAGUACUCUUUGCCUUUUACAAUUCCAUCGUGCUUUCCUUCAACGAAAAGAAAUGCACAGGAUUAAAUGUUGGUACUUUCAUUAGCACAUAUAAUUGAGGUGCUGAAGCGUGAAUAGCUUUGGUCAUCUGCAAAAUACUCAAGAUUGUUCAUGCUGAGUCAUGAGGCCAGAUGCUCACAAUACACUAGGGCGAACAAAACUUGGAAAGGACGGCUUGAAUUGUAACCAAAAAGAUGAUUUUCUAAAAUAUUACUUUGUUAACUAACAGUUUAAAAAGUCAAGCACUUGUUCAUAAAGUGAACUGUCCAGCAAACCAAUUGCUUGCAAAGCUUAAAAUUUAGCUGCCAGACAAACUUCUGGUAUCAGUGAUAAUAUGUAUUAUCUAAACUACUAAAAACAUCAUCUUAAUGCUUGCAGAACACUGACUUUUUCUGACCCCUCUGAACUGAAAUUAAAGAAAACUUGUAUCCUGGAAUUCAGCUUUCCCCACUGGAAAACAAAAAUAAAUCUCUGAAAGCCACUGACAGCAAACCAAUUUGACAAGUGAUGCACGUUGUCAGCAAUGCCCAUGAACGUGUGUGCAUGUUGCUUUUUAAAAAAAAAUCUGCCCAUUUUAGGCUUUUCUUAUUUCUCUGAUCUGUAAAAACAGAUGGGUACCAAUGGGAACUACUACAACAUGCAAAAACAUUAUUCUGCAUAAAGCAAGAAGAGCAGGGCUUUAAGACAGAUAAAAGUUGAUUAGAAUAUCCCUAUAAACAGAAAGUGGAGAAUAUCAGAUACCAAGCUUCAUGAAAUUGGAGAAACUUCCCAGGACUGAAUAGGAAUGAACUGUACUGCAAUUUUAAAAAUUGUUCACGCUAACUGCACAGAUAACCCAGAGCAUAUUUGGUCUUACCCAGCUGAACAUUUAGUUCUACUCCAACCCAGAUUCCAGCUGAAAAAUCCACUGUUCCAACGUAUCUCACUGUGCCCAUCUUAUUACUUCCAACACAGACUUGCUCGCCCACAGCCACCCAGCUAGGCAAGACUUGGGCUUGAUCUGCAGAAGCACCUUCUUCACAAUCAGAACCAUCCAAGUGGUCCUUCGUAAUAAAAUCGUCUAUGGAAGUAUCAGGAUAAGUCUCAGGAUCUGAAGUCUCUUUUACCAGUACAGAACAAAAAGGGCUCUCCACGGCACCUGCAAGCCGGUCGCCUGCUGCUGCUGCAGAGCUCUGCUGGCCCACACAAGUGCUCUGCUCCUUGUCAGGGCCUUGGGGUGACACUGAGGCGCUCACUCCAUUAGAGGACAGAAGGGAACACGACUGCGGAGCCGUGGAAUGGUCAAAGUCCUUCCCAUCUUCGACGCCCAUGAACUCUGUAAAGGAGUGAUCUUCCAGAAUGUCUGUCGUGUGCUCCACUGUUACUUCGCGUGCUGAAAAUUCAAUUGUACAACAGGUAUUUUUGCUAUCCAAGGAGCUCAGAGCUGAAAGUGAUCCAGUUCUGGGUAACCGCUGAGAGUCUCUGUCAGUGGCACUGAGGGACGGUGGUACUUGCUCUGUUAAGGCACUGUUUUCUUUCAGUGGUAACACUGGUAACUUUUCUUUCGCUAGCUCCUUUUCUAACUCUCGACAUUCCUUGUUCGAAGAAGAUCUUAAAUCAUGUGCAAGGAAUGAUCCUGCGGGAUCAUUAGAGUCCAGCUCCUUUGUGUGACUGGCUAGCUGGUCUGUGCUAUCACUACAGGGAACAAGCAUGUCAGACAGGGUAGCGUUAGAGGCACUGUGGGAAAAGUAGCCACUAGUAAUACUGCUAGUGGUGGGGCUGCGGGAUACCUCUUUCUCAAGAACACGUGAACUCAUGAAGUCUGAUUUAGAAGAGAACCACUCCCUGUUCUCCAGGCUAGCAUUGUAAAUACUGAAGUCAGCAAACUCCUCCGGUACAUAAGGCCGGAAAUUUUGAAAACUUUGUGGACUUAUCAGUUUCUUAUUAAUGGCCUCCAACUCACUGUCUUCCUCCUCAGAGUCCUGCAAAAGAACAGAGAGUUGAAUGGGAUUAGGAACCGAUGGCAGUGAGGUUUUCAAAAUAAGCUAACUUUCCUUGAUUUUUUUAUUUCUGAACGUGGAGAAAUAUGUACCUUUAAUAUCCUUUAACUGAAGAAUGGAAGACAGCAUUGAAAAGAGUGGCUGGGAAUGUGCCCUGUCUACACUGAGCUAUUUAAUUUUUAGAAAAUAAAUUCUAAAUAGUUCAGAAAAUAUAAAACAAUAAAUGGAAAGUUAUGUUUACAUGUUUUCAUCCAUGUAUGAUAAACCUUUUACCCCCAUGACUGUGACUAAUUAAACCUAUUGAAGGCAUUCUAUAGAACUAAUUGACCACCUAACAAGAUAAAUAUAAAUAUGAAUGGGAGCCACAGUCUUUGCUGCAAUACCCAGGUUUCUAUUAAACUGAUAUCAGCAAAGCUAAAUAACCUUUUUUACCCACGGCUAUCAUACCUGAACGCAUUCACAAUGCUUGAAAAUAAAGGCAAAAUUAUCAAAUACUACAGUGAAUCUUCAAGGAAGCAUUUGUGUGCAUACAUGUACAUGUCUGGAGGAAAAUAAGCGACACUAAUCAGCCUGGCAGAAUUUGGAGAUACCUCCUUGAAUUUCCCUUUGAUAAUGAGUGGGAAUGCACUGUGAGCAGACCCGCAGAUGUGGCUUUCACAGAGUCCAUCAGAAGCUGACGACUUCAGUCUGUAAAGAUGCAUCUGAGAAAGACCCCAGCAACACGGUGGUGCUGCUCCCACCAGGAUAUAAAAUGCUGAUAUAAAAUAUAAAAAUGGUGAUAUAAAAUGCUGCAGGCAGGACUCCACAUGGAUGCUUUUUUAAGUUCUUCCUUUUUCUUAUACAUAUGGGUUUAUUUACAAAUGUAUGUGUGCAGGUAUAAACAUACAUAUAUGUAUACACACAUAUACAUAUUAAAAAUGGUUAGUUUACAGGGAAUUCCUUCUAGAAAGAAUAGUAUUUUCAGAAAAAUGAAAACUACUGAAGUACUUCAGAGAAAUUCAAGCUCCUAUUAUAUCUCAGUUCCUUUAUCUGCAUCAUAGAUUUCAAAUACUGAUCAAGGCACAUCCUGUGUGGUACCUAAAGUAGUUUGAUGCUUUCAGGCACCUGCUAUGAAUCACCAAUGUAAAAGGAAAAGCAUAAUAGUUAACCAGAUGACCACUGAGAACCAAUGCAUCAGGAUAAACAGCCUCUUGAAAAUGUUUAUGAUACUUUGUAAUAGCCAAGACUGUUCAAAUAACUUUGUACGACAAGGCUUCAUAUGUGCAGAAAGAAAACAGGCUUGUUCAGUUUGCCCAUGUCAGAAUAAUGACAAAAUUGUUUAGGCUGGAAGGCAUCUCUUGAGGUGAAUUAGUCCAAUCUCCCACUGCUCAAGCAGGGGUCAGCCAGAGCAGACUGUCCAGAACAGUGUCCUGUUGGAUGAGUUUUGAGAUCUCCAAGGAUGGAGACUCUAUAACCUUCCUGCACAACUCAUGCCAGUGUUUGACCACCCUCACAGUAAACAAACUGUUUUCUUGUGUUCAGAUGGAAUCUUGUGUGUUUUGAUUUGUGCCCAUUGCCUCAUGUCCUGUCACUGGGCAUUGCUGAGAAGAGUCUGCCUUGUCUUCACCCCCUCCCCACCAGGUGUUUGUAUGCAUUGAUAAGACGCCCCUGAGCCUGGACUCCUUCAGGCUGAACAGCCCCAGACCUUCCAGCCUCUGCCUGUAUGUCAGAUGGCCCUUAUCUGUAACAAAGUCUCAUUUUCAUUCCUACCGUGUUCAAGCUCAUAGCAGAUAUAAUUCAAUCAUAUUACCCAUGCAGAACAGCCUCUUAAGCUGACUCAAGAUUUUCAGUAAUAUUACAUUUUUGUUGGCACACCAAUCAGUAUCUGAAGAAGAUGCCUCUGCCUGUCUAAGUAUAUCUGACAAAUCCAACCAUAUUUCAGAUUUUAAAACUUGCUCAAAUAAAGGCUUUGCAUCCUUUGCUUAAUCACUUUUACAGCUCUGCUUCAGUUAUUUCUCAUACAGAAUUUGGAUAAAGGCUUUAGUUUGCAAUUAUUUAUUUCUCUGAAGAGGAGUUACAGUGUUAUGAAAUAUCACCUAAGACUAUGGAGAAUUAUUUAUAUUAUUGAAAAUCUUGUAAUUUACCUCUAAAAUCUACAGGCAGUCCUUUUGGAAGUAAAGGAAAUAAUCAAUAUCCACUUUAUUGAGACUAAGAAUACCCUUCCAAGCUCUAAAGCAUUAUGAAACAUCUUCAUUGCAUAUUGCAGUAUACCCCUCAUCUCUGAGGGCCCUUUUCUCAACUAUCCUACUUGCUCCUUCCCUUUCACCCUUUCCACUUCUGCAAAUAUAAGUUCUGCUCUAUGCAGGACCUUGUAGUUUAUUGGUUUUAAAACAUUACAAACUAAGAAUUUAUCAAAUACACACUUUUUUAAGAUAUGAACUCCAAAGUAAUAAAUAUUUCAUGAAGGAAGUAUUUCUAGGUGAUACUAGUUAAACAUCCACUUGAGAUCGGAUGGCAUUUUAUAACAAAGUUCUUUGUAUCUCCUUUGAAACUUGCAAGAUUCCUCAUUUGACUGAAAAAAAAAGGAAAUCUUAACACACAAGGGGUCUCUGUUCAGAGUCAGACUGGAUAAGAGGCUAUAACUUAGAAAUGGAUGUACCGACACACAGACAUUGGUUACUUGUUUAGGAAAAGUCCAACAAGUAAACACAUCGUCAGUCGUGUUGUUUUAGGGUUCUCUGUCAUUGUAAGUACAAAAGCUAAGGUACAGGGAACCAGUCUUCUUACUAGAACAUGUGUUAUGAAGAAUGCUGCAAAUAAGUGAUGAGACACCACCUUGUGACACAUAAAAGAUGCCCCUGGUGGGGACAAGACAUAUUUUUUUUCAGAGCUUCUCUUGAGUU